This 440-nucleotide ribosomal RNA is filed under the name uncultured bacterium. Its description in RNAcentral is "partial 16S ribosomal RNA". It matches the Rfam family "Bacterial small subunit ribosomal RNA", at positions 338 to 795 of the family's 1533-position model. The record is from RNAcentral.
GCUACGGGUGGCAGCAGGAGGGAAUAUUGCGCAAUGGGGGAAACCCGGAAGCAGCAACGCCGCGUGGAGGAUGAAGGUUUUCGGAGUGUAAACUCCUUUUGUUAGAGAAGAGAAUGACGGCACCUAACGAAUAAUCACCGGCGAAAUCCGUGCCAGCAGCCGCGGUAACACGGGGGGCGCAAGCGUUACUCGGAAGCACGGGGCGUAAAGAGCGCGUAGGCGGGAUAGCAAGUCAGAUGUGAAAUCCUAGGGCUUAACCGUAGAACUGCAUUUGAAACUGGUGUUCUAGAGUAUGGGAGAGGUAGGUGGAAUUCUUGGUGUAGGGGUGAAAUCCGUAGAGAUCAGGAGGAAUACUCAUUGCGAAGGCGGCCUGCUAGACCGUAACUGACGCUGAUGCGCGAAAGCGUGGGGAGCAAACAGGAUUAGAUACCCUGGUAGUC